Molecule: ribosomal RNA, 253 nt
Filed under: uncultured bacterium
Lineage: Bacteria
Description: partial 16S ribosomal RNA
Rfam family: Bacterial small subunit ribosomal RNA
Source: RNAcentral
UACGUAGGGUGCGAGCGUUGUCCGGAAUUAUUGGGCGUAAAGAGCUCGUAGGCGGUUUGUCGCGUCUGCUGUGAAAACGCGAGGCUCAACCUCGCGCCUGCAGUGGGUACGGGCAGACUAGAGUGCGGUAGGGGAGAUUGGAAUUCCUGGUGUAGCGGUGGAAUGCGCAGAUAUCAGGAGGAACACCGAUGGCGAAGGCAGAUCUCUGGGCCGUAACUGACGCUGAGGCGCGAAAGCGUGGGGAGCAAACAGG